UAAUUUCAUAUAUUUCCUUCGUAUAUCCUCGAUAAUAUGGUUCGAAAGUUUCUACCAGGGCGCCGUAAAUGACCUGACUAUGAAGUGAG
Molecule: non-coding RNA, 89 nt
Filed under: Bacillus testis
Lineage: Bacteria; Bacillati; Bacillota; Bacilli; Caryophanales; Bacillaceae
Description: Purine riboswitch
Rfam family: Purine riboswitch aptamer
About the family: Riboswitches are metabolite binding domains within certain messenger RNAs that serve as precision sensors for their corresponding targets. Allosteric rearrangement of mRNA structure is mediated by ligand binding, and this results in modulation of gene expression.
Source: RNAcentral